RNAcentral lists this long non-coding RNA (272 nucleotides) under Vulpes vulpes (red fox). Its description in RNAcentral is "lncRNA (ENSVVUG00000012286.1)". The record is from RNAcentral. Lineage: Eukaryota; Metazoa; Chordata; Mammalia; Carnivora; Canidae.
AUGAUUCAGGAGACAGAAGAUGAAUUCAUGCUCUUCAUUCACAUACUCAACAAACAAAUAUCAUUGAACACAUCCUGUGUGCAAAGCACUAUUUGGGACAGGGUGCCACAGCAGCAAACAACAUCUAAAAACAUGAAGCUUUAUAGCUCCACCAGGUACCACACAGCCCUACAGCAAAGUGAUCAACUCUUGAGACUGGUGAUUGACUGGAUGGAUUAAAAAUACUUGCUGAAAUGCCUCCAAAGUUAUCAAUAAAAUAAAUGAAUCAAUCA